CGGAGGAAGGUGGGGAUGACGUCAAAUCAUCAUGCCCCUUAUGUCUUGGGCUUCACGCAUGCUACAAUGGCCGGUACAAAGGGUUGCGAUACUGUGAGGUGGAGCUAAUCCCAAAAAGCCGGUCUCAGUUCGGAUUGGGGUCUGCAACUCGACCCCAUGAAGUCGGA
RNAcentral lists this ribosomal RNA (167 nucleotides) under uncultured Actinomycetes bacterium. RNAcentral describes it as "uncultured actinobacterium partial 16S ribosomal RNA". It matches the Rfam family "Bacterial small subunit ribosomal RNA", at positions 1164 to 1330 of the family's 1533-position model. Lineage: Bacteria; Bacillati; Actinomycetota; Actinomycetes. The record is from RNAcentral.